This 70-nucleotide transfer RNA is filed under the name Dipodomys ordii (Ord's kangaroo rat). It matches the Rfam family "tRNA". From Rfam's summary of the family: Transfer RNA (tRNA) molecules are approximately 80 nucleotides in length. Lineage: Eukaryota; Metazoa; Chordata; Mammalia; Rodentia; Heteromyidae. The record is from Rfam by way of RNAcentral.
UGGUAUGUAGCUCAGUGGCAAAGCACUUGCCUAACAAGUAUAGCAUCCUGGGUUCAAUCCCCAGUGCCAA